RNAcentral lists this ribosomal RNA (348 nucleotides) under Lopaphus balteatus. RNAcentral describes it as "partial 12S ribosomal RNA". Lineage: Eukaryota; Metazoa; Arthropoda; Insecta; Phasmatodea; Lonchodidae. The record is from RNAcentral.
AAUAAUAGUUAUGAUCUUUAAACCUAAAGAAUUUGGCGGUGUUUUAUUCUAUUUAGAGGAAUUUGUUACAUAAUCGAUAAUCCCCGAUUUAUCUUACUUUAUUUUGUUAAUUCAGUAUGUAUAUCGCCGUUAUAAGUUUAUUUUAUUAGAAAAAAAAUUUACUUUAUUUUUAAAUAUAAAUUAUUUCAGGUCAAGGUGCAGUUAAUAAUAAAGUGUUUAUGAAUUACAAUAUUAUUUGAAUAAAUGGAUUUUUAUUUUAAAAUUUUAAUGAAAGUGGAUUUAAUUGUAAUUUUAAUAAUAAUGUUUUUUUGAUUAUAGCUCUGAAAUAAGUACACAUCGCCCGUCGCU